This 520-nucleotide ribosomal RNA is filed under the name uncultured Paraglomus. RNAcentral describes it as "SSU rRNA". It matches the Rfam family "Eukaryotic small subunit ribosomal RNA", at positions 569 to 1095 of the family's 1831-position model. Lineage: Eukaryota; Fungi; Glomeromycota; Glomeromycetes; Paraglomerales; Paraglomeraceae. The record is from RNAcentral.
AGCAGCCGCGGUAAUUCCAGCUCCAAUAGCGUAUAUUAAAGUUGUUGUGGUUAAAAAGCUCGUAGUUGAACCUUGGGCCUGGCUGGCCGGUCCGCCUCACCGCGUGUACUGGUCCGGCCGGGCCUUUCCCUCUGUGGAACCCCAUGCCCUUCACUGGGUGUGGCGGGGAAACAGGACUUUUACUUUGAAAAAAUUAGAGUGCUCCAGGCAGGCCUAUGCUCGAAUACAUUAGCAUGGAAUAAUAGAAUAGGACGUGUGGUUCUAUUUUGUUGGUUUCUAGGACCGCCGUAAUGAUUAAUAGGGACAGUCGGGGGCAUCAGUAUUCAAUUGUCAGAGGUGAAAUUCUUGGAUUUAUUGAAGACUAACUACUGCGAAAGCAUUUGCCAAGGAUGUUUUCAUUAAUCAGGAACGAAAGUUAGGGGAUCGAAGACGAUCAGAUACCGUCGUAGUCUUAACCAUAAACUAUGCCGACUAGGGAUCGGACGAUGUUACUUAUUGACUCGUUCGGCACCUUACGGGA